RNAcentral lists this small RNA (187 nucleotides) under Malus domestica (apple). RNAcentral describes it as "sRNA MD13G0032000". Lineage: Eukaryota; Viridiplantae; Streptophyta; Magnoliopsida; Rosales; Rosaceae. The record is from RNAcentral.
CGAUACAGGAUCAAAAUUAUACAUAUAAAAUAUGAAUAUUAAUAACAAUGUCUCCAUCUAAUAUGUACAAAUCCCUCAAGCUUUUACCUAGAAGUACUAAUUAGAUGUGUUUUUCAAUGAUGGCGAGUCUUGGUACAACGGAAAUGUUGUUCUUUUGUGAUCGAAAUGUCAUGAGUUCGAGUCGUAG